Molecule: ribosomal RNA, 128 nt
Filed under: uncultured bacterium
Lineage: Bacteria
Description: partial 16S ribosomal RNA
Source: RNAcentral
GCGUGACUGAUGAAGGUCUUCAGGAUCUGUAAAGCUCUGUUGUUAGGGAAGAACAAGUACCGUGCGAAUAGAGCGGUACCUUGCCGGUCCCUAACGAGAAGGCCCCGGUUACUUACGUGCCGCCGCCC